This is a ribosomal RNA of Toxocara canis (dog roundworm), 805 nucleotides long. It matches the Rfam family "Eukaryotic large subunit ribosomal RNA", at positions 24 to 664 of the family's 3401-position model. The record is from Rfam. NCBI's taxonomy places the organism in Eukaryota, Metazoa, Nematoda, Chromadorea, Rhabditida, Toxocaridae.
CCCGCUGAAUUUAAGCAUAUAACUAAGCGGAGGGAAAGAAACUAACGAGGAUUCCUCUAGUAACGGCGAGUGAAUGGGGAAAAGCCCAGCCCUGAAUCCAUUGCCCACUGGUCGCUUGGAAUUGUAGCGUAUAGGUGCGGUUGUCCGUUUGUUUCGCGCACCCAAAGUCCCCUUGAGUGGGGCUAUAGUCCAAAGAAGGUGCUAGACCUGUACGGGUGGCGAGACGAUCGGUUGGUUGCUCCUUGGAGUCGGGUUGCCUGGGAUCGCAGCCCAAAGUUGGUGGUAGACCUCAUCUAAGGCUAAAUAUGGCCAUGAAACCGAUAGCAAACAAGUACCGUGAGGGAAAGUUGCAAAGAACUUUGAAGAGAGAGUUCAAGAGGGCGUGAAACCGCUGAGAUUGAAACGGAUAGAGUUGACUUAACUCGGCUGCAUUCAUCCGGUCGGUCUAGCGGUCCAAUGGUUUCGACUUCCUCGAAGAGGGCGAAGCCGUCGGCAACUGUUCGGCAUUUGAUCGGUGUAUUUGCGGCUGGUAUGCGCUGAGAGCUUUGCGAUCGCGUGUUGACAAACGUGCAGUGGACCAUUCCUUCCGGGCGUGGAAACCUUCGCGCUUUGAGACAUGUCGGUUGUAAGGUUUUGAAGAUGGCGUCUCCGCUAUGGUGCGUCAGCUUUUUCGAGCUGUUGUGGCUGCUGGAUGGUCGCAUGCGACUAUCUGCAGUCAUCGAUGGUGCGAGAUGAGUGUGGACGCGGCGAGGCGUUGAUCUCGGUGUGAACGUCGACCACCUAUCCGACCCGUCUUGAAACACGG